UAGAAUCAAUUGGUUAUAAAAAGGGAAGAGUGUAGUCGCCAGUACAUUCAGUUACAAAAUGACACAAACGAGGAUAUACGCGACGUUUGGUGUUUUAUUAUUGAUCACAAUUGUUAUAUCAAAAGAAACUAAUGGAAGGACAUCACAUGUUGGAAGAUCCAAUAUGCCAAAUAUUUAUGAUAUUUUAUCACUUAUCUACAGACUUUGUUCCGUUAACGAGGGUGUUACUUAUUCCAAUUUGGAGUGUCUAGAUCAACAUAU
Centruroides sculpturatus (bark scorpion) is the source of this 261-nucleotide long non-coding RNA. RefSeq lists it as uncharacterized. The record is from RefSeq and is a predicted model, not a curated record. The transcript is spliced from 2 exons. NCBI's taxonomy places the organism in Eukaryota, Metazoa, Arthropoda, Arachnida, Scorpiones, Buthidae.